Molecule: non-coding RNA, 447 nt
Organism: Pantherophis guttatus
Lineage: Eukaryota; Metazoa; Chordata; Lepidosauria; Squamata; Colubridae
Source: RefSeq, a predicted model, not a curated record
CAAGUAAUUCAACGAUCCUUGAGUAAUUCUAUAAAAAGAAGACAAUAAAAAAUCCAGAGGAUACUUAGCUUUGUUUUUUAGUUCCUGUUUCAUGAAUAUUGGCUUAAACUUGCUCUAAGGAAUCUUAACAUUGCGUUUACAGCAAGAAGGUACUUACAGUAUUCCCAAGAAAUCCACUGGAUCUGAAAGAGCUAAAUCUCUGCAAGUUACUCCUAAUCUGCCAGGUGUGAAGAAUCAGGACCACACAUUAAACUCCAAGGCAAAAGACAAGAGCUACUAGAAAGGAGGGAAAACAAACAAACAAAAAUGGUCAAACAUACUUCUAAUCUUUCAAGCAAGAAGAGAGUUUCAAACAAUUCUCAUGAGCAGAGUGAGAUGUUCUUAAACUGGUUAUCUGUGUUUGCAAGACACAACUGCUUCAGCUUGCUGUGAGCUGGAGUAAAUAGU